This 148-nucleotide non-coding RNA is filed under the name Homo sapiens (human). The record is from Rfam by way of RNAcentral. Lineage: Eukaryota; Metazoa; Chordata; Mammalia; Primates; Hominidae.
GCUGGGUGUGGUGGUGCACGCCUGUAAUCCCAGCUACUCAGGAGGCUGAGGCAGAAGAAUCGCUUGAACCUGGGAGGUGGAGGUUGCAGUGAGCCGAGAUCGCGCCACUGCAUUCCAGUCUGGGUGACAGAGUGAGACUCUGUCUCCA